This 324-nucleotide ribosomal RNA is filed under the name Triticum aestivum (bread wheat). Its description in RNAcentral is "partial small subunit ribosomal RNA". Lineage: Eukaryota; Viridiplantae; Streptophyta; Magnoliopsida; Poales; Poaceae. The record is from RNAcentral.
AUGGCGGCAAAGAAAUAUCUCUUUCGCUUUGGGUCUUUCGCAAUAAAGGAUGGGUCAGAGGUUCGUUUCUGGGAAGACAUCUGGCUAGGCAAUGCCAGUCUCCGAGGACAAUAUCCAACCUUAUAAAUCAUUGCUUGUGAGAAGAAUAAUACUCUUGCGCAGGUGUUGAGUUCAUCCCCGCCGAAUAUGUCAUUCAGACGGGAUUUGAUUGGGCCCCGACUUACGUCAUGGCAUAAUCUAUUGUCCAGGAUGGAUUCGAUUAACCUGACACAAGGCCGGGAUUUGUUUUGCUGGAACCUUACUACAUCAGGGUCUUUCACAGUA